UGGGGAAUAUUGCACAAUGGGCGCAAGCCUGAUGCAGCCAUGCCGCGUGUAUGAAGAAGGCCUUCGUGUUGUAAAGUACUUUCAGCGGGGAGGAAGGGAGUAAAGUUAAUACCUUUGCUCAUUGACGUUACCCGCAGAAGAAGCACCGGCUAACUCCGUGCCAGCAGCCGCUGUAAUACGGAGGGUGCAAGCGUUAAUCGGAAUUACUGGGCGUAAAGCGCACGCAGGCGGUUUGUUAAGUCAGAUGUGAAAUCCCCGGGCUCAACCUGGGAACUGCAUCUGAUACUGGCAAGCUUUAGUCUCGUAGAGGGGGGUAGAAUUCCAGGUGUAGCGGUGAAAUGCGUAGAGAUCUGGAGGAAUACCGGUGGCGAAGGCGGCCCCCUGGACGAAGACUGACGCUCAGGUGCGAAAGCGUGGGGAGCAAACAGG
RNAcentral lists this ribosomal RNA (429 nucleotides) under Chloroflexota bacterium. RNAcentral describes it as "Chloroflexi bacterium partial 16S ribosomal RNA". It matches the Rfam family "Bacterial small subunit ribosomal RNA", at positions 355 to 776 of the family's 1533-position model. Lineage: Bacteria; Bacillati; Chloroflexota. The record is from RNAcentral.